RNAcentral lists this ribosomal RNA (1457 nucleotides) under Salmonella enterica subsp. enterica serovar Hartford. RNAcentral's name for it is "bacterial SSU rRNA". It matches the Rfam family "Bacterial small subunit ribosomal RNA". The record is from RNAcentral. Lineage: Bacteria; Pseudomonadati; Pseudomonadota; Gammaproteobacteria; Enterobacterales; Enterobacteriaceae.
UGACGAGUGGCGGACGGGUGAGUAAUGUCUGGGAAACUGCCUGAUGGAGGGGGAUAACUACUGGAAACGGUGGCUAAUACCGCAUAACGUCGCAAGACCAAAGAGGGGGACCUUCGGGCCUCUUGCCAUCAGAUGUGCCCAGAUGGGAUUAGCUAGUUGGUGAGGUAACGGCUCACCAAGGCGACGAUCCCUAGCUGGUCUGAGAGGAUGACCAGCCACACUGGAACUGAGACACGGUCCAGACUCCUACGGGAGGCAGCAGUGGGGAAUAUUGCACAAUGGGCGCAAGCCUGAUGCAGCCAUGCCGCGUGUAUGAAGAAGGCCUUCGGGUUGUAAAGUACUUUCAGCGGGGAGGAAGGUGUUGUGGUUAAUAACCGCAGCAAUUGACGUUACCCGCAGAAGAAGCACCGGCUAACUCCGUGCCAGCAGCCGCGGUAAUACGGAGGGUGCAAGCGUUAAUCGGAAUUACUGGGCGUAAAGCGCACGCAGGCGGUCUGUCAAGUCGGAUGUGAAAUCCCCGGGCUCAACCUGGGAACUGCAUUCGAAACUGGCAGGCUUGAGUCUUGUAGAGGGGGGUAGAAUUCCAGGUGUAGCGGUGAAAUGCGUAGAGAUCUGGAGGAAUACCGGUGGCGAAGGCGGCCCCCUGGACAAAGACUGACGCUCAGGUGCGAAAGCGUGGGGAGCAAACAGGAUUAGAUACCCUGGUAGUCCACGCCGUAAACGAUGUCUACUUGGAGGUUGUGCCCUUGAGGCGUGGCUUCCGGAGCUAACGCGUUAAGUAGACCGCCUGGGGAGUACGGCCGCAAGGUUAAAACUCAAAUGAAUUGACGGGGGCCCGCACAAGCGGUGGAGCAUGUGGUUUAAUUCGAUGCAACGCGAAGAACCUUACCUGGUCUUGACAUCCACGGAAGUUUUCAGAGAUGGAAUGGUGCCUUCGGGAACCGUGAGACAGGUGCUGCAUGGCUGUCGUCAGCUCGUGUUGUGAAAUGUUGGGUUAAGUCCCGCAACGAGCGCAACCCUUAUCCUUUGUUGCCAGCGAUUAGGUCGGGAACUCAAAGGAGACUGCCAGUGAUAAACUGGAGGAAGGUGGGGAUGACGUCAAGUCAUCAUGGCCCUUACGACCAGGGCUACACACGUGCUACAAUGGCGCAUACAAAGAGAAGCGACCUCGCGAGAGUAAGCGGACCUCAUAAAGUGCGUCGUAGUCCGGAUUGGAGUCUGCAACUCGACUCCAUGAAGUCGGAAUCGCUAGUAAUCGUGGAUCAGAAUGCCACGGUGAAUACGUUCCCGGGCCUUGUACACACCGCCCGUCACACCAUGGGAGUGGGUUGCAAAAGAAGUAGGUAGCUUAACCUUCGGGAGGGCGCUUACCACUUUGUGAUUCAUGACUGGGGUGAAGUCGUAACAAGGUAACCGUAGGGGAACCUGCGGUUGGAUCACCUCCUUACCUUAAAGAA